AUGGCGACUUCAGAGGCCAGCGGCAGCGGCGGGAAUGGCGAGGGCUGCAACCCCUCCAUCAAGUACUACCGGCUGGAGGAGGUGGGGAAGUGAAACUCUGCGGAGGCGGAGACGUGGAUGGUGAUCCACGGGCGAGUCUACAAUAUUACCCGCUUCCUCAGCGAGCAUCCUGGUGGGGAAGAGGUUCUGCUGGAACAAGCUGGUGCUGAUGCAACUGAAAGCUUUGAAGAUGUUGGCCACUCCCCUGAUGCCAGGGAAAUGCUGAAGCAGUACUUCACUGGUGAUGUUCAUCCGAGUGACCUUGAACCUAAAAAUGGUGGUAACAAGGAUCCUUCAAAAAGCAGCACGUGCAAAAGUUUCUGGGCAUAUUGGAGUCUCCCCGUCGUGGGCGCUAUUCUUGUAGGUUUCCUGUAUCGUCACUUCACAGCCGACAACAAAUCCUCCUGAGGAGACGAGACUAUGCUGAA
This is a non-coding RNA of Cricetulus griseus (Chinese hamster), 467 nucleotides long. The record is from RefSeq and is a predicted model, not a curated record. Lineage: Eukaryota; Metazoa; Chordata; Mammalia; Rodentia; Cricetidae.